This 252-nucleotide ribosomal RNA is filed under the name uncultured bacterium. RNAcentral describes it as "partial 16S ribosomal RNA". It matches the Rfam family "Bacterial small subunit ribosomal RNA", at positions 524 to 776 of the family's 1533-position model. The record is from RNAcentral.
UACGGGGGGGGCAAGCGUUGUUCGGAAUUACUGGGCGUAAAGGGUUGUAGGCGGCCAACUAAGUCCGACGUGAAAUCCCAAGGCUUAACCUUGGAACUGCGUCGGAUACUGGAUGGCUUGAAUUCGGGAGAGGGAUGCAGAAUUCCAGGUGUAGCGGUGAAAUGCGUAGAUAUCUGGAGGAAUACCGGUGGCGAAGGCGGCAUCCUGGACCGACAUUGACGCUGAAAACCGAAAGCUAGGGGAGCAAACGGG